CAGGGAGACAACAAAAUGUUUAAUAUUAUUAUUUUGUCACCUUAGGUCGAUCGGUAUCUCACGUUCUUAAUUUAUUAAGAAUUUCAUUUCCUAAGUUUUUCUAGGUCACACCCAUUAUUUUUCCUGGGCCAUUAGCUCAGGUGGUUAGAGCGCACCCCUGAUAAGGGUGAGGUCCCUGGUUCAAGUCCAGGAUGGCCCAUAUCUCUAUGUUGGGGGUAUAGCUCAGUUGGUAGAGCGCCUGCUUUGCAAGCAGGAUGUCAGCGGUUCGAGUCCGCUUACCUCCACUGAUUACCACCUCUUCCAUAAUCGGUAGAAAAGGAAAUGUUUUGAGUUGUGAUCAAAUUCUGAAAGAAUCUAGCUUCCUAAUGAAAUCAUUAAGAUGCUGGACUCAUUGAAUUAAUUUCAUUGUUUUCAGAGAACCUUGACAACUGCAUAGAUUAUUUUUAAAGACAAUAAGCAUCUUUAAUGAUGCAGAUUUAUUAUUUGUGCGAAUGCAUUAAUAACAAUUCUAUUGAGCUGAUGCUUCAAUUUUGAAGUUAUU
This 541-nucleotide transfer RNA is filed under the name uncultured cyanobacterium. RNAcentral describes it as "partial contains 16S ribosomal RNA, 16S-23S ribosomal RNA intergenic spacer, and 23S ribosomal RNA". The stretch from base 212 to 284 matches the Rfam family "tRNA". The record is from RNAcentral. Lineage: Bacteria; Bacillati; Cyanobacteriota.